RNAcentral lists this ribosomal RNA (429 nucleotides) under uncultured bacterium. RNAcentral's name for it is "bacterial SSU rRNA". It matches the Rfam family "Bacterial small subunit ribosomal RNA", at positions 355 to 775 of the family's 1533-position model. The record is from RNAcentral.
UGAGGAAUAUUGCGCAAUGGGGGCAACCCUGACGCAGCAACGCCGCGUGAGUGAGGAAGGUUUUCGGACCGUAAAGCCCUGUCGAGCGGGAAGAAAUGCAUGGUGGCUAAUAUCCAUCAUGCUUGACGGUACCGCUAAAGGAAGCACCGGCUAACUCCGUGCCAACAGCCGCGGUAAUACGGGGGGUGCGAGCGUUGUUCGGAAUUAUUGGGCGUAAAGAGCGUGUAGGCGGCCGAAUAAGUCAGAUGUGAAAUCCCUGGGCUUAACCCAGGACGUGCAUUUGAAACUAUUCGGCUAGAGUAGGGGAGAGGAAAGUGGAAUUCCUGGUGUAGAGGUGAAAUUCGUAGGUAUCAGGAGGAACACCGGUGGCGAAGGCGACUUUCUGGCCCUAUACUGACGCUGAGGCGCGAGAGCGUGGGUAGCAAACAG